Rhinopithecus roxellana (golden snub-nosed monkey) is the source of this 299-nucleotide long non-coding RNA. RefSeq lists it as uncharacterized. The transcript is spliced from 3 exons. The record is from RefSeq and is a predicted model, not a curated record. Lineage: Eukaryota; Metazoa; Chordata; Mammalia; Primates; Cercopithecidae.
CAGCCUCUACCUCGCCCAGGCCCCGCCCACCUCCUCGGGGGUCCCGCCCAGGUCAGGCUUCUGCCCUGCGCGCGCAGUUUCGCGCAAACCCGGAAGCGGAUCGCGUGGAGUAAAGGUCCUACAACCGCGCCCCCACACUUUUUAAAGUCCUCACCUGAGAGGUGGAUUUCCGCCCUGGGCGUCUCCCAGCCUCACCCUCGCCGGACCCUGGAACGCAGCCCCGCGACCCCAGUCCCAGGUUCUCACUCUGUCCUCCAGACUGUGAGUGCAGUCUCGUGAUCUUGGCUCACUGCAACCUC